GGUACCGUAGCCAAGUGGUAAGGCAGAGCUCUGCAAAAGCUCCACCGCCGGUUCAAAUCCGGCCGGUACCU
Molecule: transfer RNA, 71 nt
Filed under: bacterium
Lineage: Bacteria
Description: tRNA-Cys
Rfam family: tRNA
About the family: Transfer RNA (tRNA) molecules are approximately 80 nucleotides in length. Their secondary structure includes four short double-helical elements and three loops (D, anti-codon, and T loops). Further hydrogen bonds mediate the characteristic L-shaped molecular structure. tRNAs have two regions of fundamental functional importance: the anti-codon, which is responsible for specific mRNA codon recognition, and the 3' end, to which the tRNAs corresponding amino acid is attached (by aminoacyl-tRNA synthetases). tRNAs cope with the degeneracy of the genetic code in two manners: having more than one tRNA (with a specific anti-codon) for a particular amino acid; and 'wobble' base-pairing, i.e. permitting non-standard base-pairing at the 3rd anti-codon position.
Source: RNAcentral